Molecule: ribosomal RNA, 253 nt
Filed under: uncultured bacterium
Lineage: Bacteria
Description: partial 16S ribosomal RNA
Rfam family: Bacterial small subunit ribosomal RNA
Source: RNAcentral
GACGAGCCACCCAAACGUUAUUCGGAAUUACUGGGCUUAAAGGGUGCGUAGGCGGUGCAGCAAGUCGGGAGUGAAAUACCUCAGCUUAACUGAGGAACUGCUUUCGAUACUGCUGUGCUUGAGUGAGACAGAGGUAAGCGGAACUUAGGGUGGAGCGGUGAAAUGCGUUGAUAUCCUAGGGAACACCGGUGGCGAAAGCGGCAUUCUGGAUCUCAUCUGACGCUGAUGCACGAAAGCUAGGGUAGCAAACGGG